GACGAACGCUGGCGGCGUGCCUAAUACAUGCAAGUAGAACGCUGAAGCUUGGUGCUUGCACCGAGCGGAUGAGUUGCGAACGGGUGAGUAACGCGUAGGUAACCUGCCUGGUAGCGGGGGAUAACUAUUGGAAACGAUAGCUAAUACCGCAUAAGAGUAGAUGUUGCAUGACAUUUGCUUAAAAGGUGCAAUUGCAUCACUACCAGAUGGACCUGCGUUGUAUUAGCUAGUUGGUGAGGUAACGGCUCACCAAGGCAACGAUACAUAGCCGACCUGAGAGUGUGAUCGGCCACACUGGGACUGAGACACGGCCCAGACUCCUACGGGAGGCAGCAGUAGGGAAUCUUCGGCAAUGGACGGAAGUCUGACCGAGCAACGCCGCGUGAGUGAAGAAGGUUUUCGGAUCGUAAAGCUCUGUUGUAAGAGAAGAACGAGUGUGAGAGUGGAAAGUUCACACUGUGACGGUAUCUUACCAGAAAGGGACGGCUAACUACGUG
This 497-nucleotide ribosomal RNA is filed under the name uncultured bacterium. RNAcentral describes it as "partial 16S ribosomal RNA". It matches the Rfam family "Bacterial small subunit ribosomal RNA", at positions 28 to 507 of the family's 1533-position model. The record is from RNAcentral.